This 303-nucleotide ribosomal RNA is filed under the name uncultured bacterium. RNAcentral's name for it is "partial 16S ribosomal RNA". It matches the Rfam family "Bacterial small subunit ribosomal RNA", at positions 507 to 807 of the family's 1533-position model. The record is from RNAcentral.
AGCAGCCGCCGCGGGAAUACGUAGGUGGCAAGCGUUGUCCGGAAUUAUUGGGCGUAAAGGGCUCGCAGGCGGUUUCUUAAGUCUGAUGUGAAAGCCCCCGGCUCAACCGGGGAGGGUCAUUGGAAACUGGGGAACUUGAGUGCAGAAGAGGAGAGUGGAAUUCCAUGUGUAGCGGUGAAAUGUGUAGAUAUAUGGAGGAACACCAGUGGCGAAGGCGACUCUCUGGUCUGUAACUGACGCUGAGGCUCGAAAGCGUGGGUAGUAAACAGGAUUAGAUACCCCAGUAGUCCCUGUCUCUUAUAC